Fukomys damarensis (Damara mole-rat) is the source of this 1298-nucleotide long non-coding RNA. RefSeq lists it as uncharacterized. The transcript has 4 exons. Lineage: Eukaryota; Metazoa; Chordata; Mammalia; Rodentia; Bathyergidae. The record is from RefSeq and is a predicted model, not a curated record.
CCUCCCUCCUUACUCCUACCUGCUUAAGCUCCAGAUGAGUCUUUGCAAGAUCCAGGUGGAAAAUGUUUCCCAGGAAAGGCAGGCGCCAGGGUCCUGGAGGGUAGUUCUUUGGGCGCCUCCUUUUGAGGAAAUCUACAAAGAACAGGAAGGCAACAGCGCCCAGCAGAAGAGUGCGGAGGUGAAGCGCGCCCCAGAGGGCGGCCACCAGGGAGCCCACCGUGGCCAGCAUGCAGAGGACUUGCCCUGGGCCUUCUUAGGACCGCACAAAGGACUAUCCACACAGGUAACUACCUUGGUGUCCAGGCUGCCCUGCCCACCAGAUCUGCUCUGCCCGGCCUCCCGCGAAUUGUACCACUUCUCUGCCCUCUGCCCUCUGCCCUGCAGUUCCUCCCUCCCUGGCCUUCCUGUUCCCUCUAUGAGCCAGGCCUCUGCUGCACCCUGGACAGGGGAUAGAGACUCUGCACCCCUGGACUCCCCACAUCUUUCCUGGAACAGGCUGGCUAGCAGUGCUUUCUUCCUUUAUCAUAAAAUCCAUUUUCUGGCACACACCCAGGGCUCAGGCUGCUGGGCUCCUCAUUUCCAGGCCCCCUCAGCCUGAGAGUGCCAUAGUCAGUGGAGCCCGAUUUCCCAUCACUGUCACCAGGCCCGCUGGCUCUCUGGCAGCAGCAGCUCUGGAUCUGUCUUAGGAACUUACCAUCAGGCGGGCAGCACACUCUGCCCUCACAUGAGAGGCUGCAUCUCACAGAGCUGGGCAAGGGACGAUCAUUUCAGUCCUGACUUGGGUUGAGAACAUGCACUGCGCAGGAAUAAGGGAAUCCCUGAGUGUGAAAGAUUCCCAGAGGAAGCCUUCUCUCUGAGAGCGCUCUGCAGAGGAGAAAGAAUGGCACCAAAACUCCCAGCACUGGGCUGGGUUCAUCAUAGGAGGCUCCAAAGUCCAUGCCAGGCUGAGGUGCCUCCCUGUUUCUCCUCAUCUGAGUCCUCCACAGAAGCGGCUCAGUUCUGGGAGACCUCGGCACACUCACGUGUAUUCAAGCUUUCUCUGUGUGUCUGACAACCACUUGAAUUCACCAAAGGACGGAAAGUGGAAAUCCAGGAUCACAAGAUCAAAUGCAUUUACAGGUGCUCGUCAUGAGGGCAGGCAACAAUCCCACAUGAUGGGGCAGCCUUCACCCCAGCAUCCCACAUCGUAGAUCCUGCCACCUCUCCAAAACACCAUCUGUGACCACAUGAAGCUUUGGGGGACAUCUACACACAAUCUGUAACACUGGGGCUCCUACUAAGGGGGGACCUCCCACUGG